Molecule: ribosomal RNA, 253 nt
Filed under: uncultured bacterium
Lineage: Bacteria
Description: partial 16S ribosomal RNA
Rfam family: Bacterial small subunit ribosomal RNA
Source: RNAcentral
UACGUAGGGUCCGAGCGUUGUCCGGAAUUACUGGGCGUAAAGAGCUCGUAGGCGGCCUGUCGCGUCGGAUGUGAAAGCCCGGGGCUCAACCCCGGGUCUGCAUUCGAUACGGGCAGGCUAGAGUGUGGUAGGGGAGAUCGGAAUUCCUGGUGUAGCGGUGAAAUGCGCAGAUAUCAGGAGGAACACCGGUGGCGAAGGCGGAUCUCUGGGCCAUUACUGACGCUGAGGAGCGAAAGCGUGGGGAGCGAACAGG